AUGUCGAGGAAGAGGCCAUCAGAUCGAAAACGGCCACCAUCGAAGGGCCCCGCACCACCGCCACCACCUGCCACUCACUCGCCGCCUCCACGGGCGAGGAGGACGGCCAGCACCGCCAGCCGCCGCACGCUGAAGCAGACGCCGACCCACCAGCCAUGGCCACCAACAUGGAUGCAGGGCACCUCGAGCGAGACCGAGGCUACUAGAUCCUCGCCGCCACCAUCCUUGGCAGCCGCGCGGCGCACCGGCGGCCCCUCUGGUGGCGACGAGGAGGAGAGGCAGGGAAGGGGAAGCGGCCGGCGGCAGCUAGGGUUGGCCGCCCGCGACGCGGGGGCGAGAGGCUGUCCGAAAUGUUUCUCCACACAGUUUGAUCAAAAUUAUAUAAUUCAUUCACGUAAUUUUGCAGUAUGGUGA
This 414-nucleotide ribosomal RNA is filed under the name Triticum aestivum (bread wheat). Its description in RNAcentral is "partial small subunit ribosomal RNA". The record is from RNAcentral. Lineage: Eukaryota; Viridiplantae; Streptophyta; Magnoliopsida; Poales; Poaceae.